Molecule: unclassified non-coding RNA, 257 nt
Filed under: Hevea brasiliensis (rubber tree)
Lineage: Eukaryota; Viridiplantae; Streptophyta; Magnoliopsida; Malpighiales; Euphorbiaceae
Source: RNAcentral
CGGCAACUCCUCGACGGCCACGACGUCGAGGCCAGGAACCAGCUCUUCCGAUUAAUGGAGGAGGGGGCCGUCUUCCGGCCGCGGGAGCUGUCGGGUGGGCGGGUGUUUGUGGCGCCGGAUUACAACGAUCCGAUGGAGCGGCAACGGGAGGCGACGAUGCGGCGGAUCGAGUAUAUGCUGGGGCGCGGGGUGUUUGAGGGCUGGCUGACGAGGACAGGGGAGGAGGCGGAGAUGCGGCGGUUUGCGAUGAACGAGUG